RNAcentral lists this long non-coding RNA (1359 nucleotides) under Felis catus (domestic cat). RNAcentral describes it as "lncRNA (ENSFCAG00000050307.1)". The record is from RNAcentral. Lineage: Eukaryota; Metazoa; Chordata; Mammalia; Carnivora; Felidae.
AUGUGUGGAUUCUGGAAUGAGCUGGAAAGGAUACAACGGUCCUCAGGUCAAAAACCUCCACACAGCUCACCACCUCCAAGGCCAUACAUAUCUGCUGCUGCUGCUGCUGCUGCUGAUUUGGGGCAAGUCAGUCCCACCCCCACCCCUCAAGCUGGCCCCCCCCCCCCCAGCUCACCUGCCUUCGGGGCUUCGCCUCCAGGCCUUCUCUGGGAGAUCAAAAGUUUUCUUUGGGCCCAGCGUACACUCAAGAGGAUGCCCUACAAAGACACACACUUAGAUGCAUGCACACACACACACACACACACACCACAGCACCCCAGCUGUUUCCUUCAAAAAGGGAUGGUGACCAUCUCCCACUCAUGUCUUCCCUUUGGGGAAGCAGCCCAGGAACCGGGAGACGUGGAUUUAAGGGGGAGGAAGAGACACCCCAUCUCUCUGCCCCUGCGGGGACCUCCGCUAAGAACAAAGAAAGAAUUCCCCGGGCUGGACGCACGUGCCCAGCACCCACCCCAGACACCCAAACCCGUGCACAGCACACGCAGGCCUCCCCAUGGACUCUCAAGGCCGGAACACGUCUCUGUUCCCACUCAUGAUUACCCUCACCACACGGGGGACUCCACUCGCUGUCGCACAGCCACCAGGACCCUCCCCACGCCCCCCGCCCCCCACCAGAGCACAGCCUCUGCAGCCAGCCGGUCCAUCCACCCCGCAGGCCCAGGAAAGCCCGAGGGUGUAGGGCCCGCGUCUCCGGAGCCUCGGUCGCCCAGGCCUGGGUGGCAGCUGCGGGGACAGUGUAUGAGGUGGGGGAUCCGGCCGCUCGAAGGGUCCGCCUGUCCCCUGCCUGCGCGUCCGUCUGGGCCUUGGCCUUGGCCUCCGCCGGCGGGGGUGCGACCCCUAGCGCCCCAAACACAUACGGGGGUCUCCGCGGACCGACGGGCCGAUGGCGGCGGGGACGGCCACGCGGGACCGAGAACGGCCGAGACGCGCGGCCGCGGGAGCCGCCGGGGAGGCCCAACUGCAGCCUCGUGGCGCCACCUAUGGUCCGCACUGCGGCGGCUUCCCGGCCCCCGGCGCCCGCGGCUCGGUCCUGCAGCCCGUCUCCGAGUCUCAGGGUGGCCCCGCCGCCCCUCCCGGAUUCAGCCCCGGGGUUGGGGGUGGCGCGGGCGCUGCCACCGCGUCACGUGCAGAGAGGCCCCAGAGCCCGCAGCUGCGACCUCACCUGCCCCUCUGUUCUGCUGCCCGGCCCCCCCACCCCCCGCUUCCCGGUUACAGAAGGGGACACGGAGCCUCGGCCACAACCCGGAAGUGGAGAGACCAGGCCAGGACCGACUCUGGGGCUUGUGGAAUCGGGGCAGCUGA